AAUGCUUGGGCCUUGUUCAAAGCUCAACAUGGAAUCCAAGAAACGGAGGGAGGUGCAGACUAAUGAGAAAGGUGAGACAAAAGGAGGUUCGUUUGGGCCUUAGGCCCAAACCUAAACCUUAUCCUAAACCGAGCCUGUAACGAUAAGUAGGUAUAAGCUCUUAUUCCAGUUGCGACCGACGAACACGAAUGAAAAAAUUCAAACCGAAGAACUCUUACAAACCGAUGCUCACUUUCCCCCAUCUUCACGGAUUAGUCCAAACUCCAGUUAUGACCUGAACUCCUCGUUUGCGUGCUUAGGAUUACUAACAAUAUCACCAUGUUUUCGUGCUUUGUGGAAUUCAUCUUUUUCAAUCCGUUUCUUCAUGAAUUGUGUUCAGCAAUGGAUUUGUGCUUGGAAUAGAGCCAUAAUCAAAACGUCUGAAUCAUAUUAAGGAGAAGGAAGAAUACUUACCGAAUUUUUAAGCUCCGACACGAAGGCUCUGUCGCGACGCAUUAGUGCUUUUGUGUGUGUUAUUGAUGCAUUUUCGGUACUUCGGCUCAUUGCUACGGUGUGUUGCCACUUUAUUGCAUAUGAAGAGUGCAAAGAAGUUCACCGAAGAGUGCAAAAUCUGAAUGAAGAACGAAGGAUUUGAAGAGUAAAGAAUGUAGAAUGCAAAAAAUUAAGAAUCCAGAAAUGUGAAGAAUGGAGAAAAGCCAAGAAUCCCGAAUCUGAACUGCAAUGAGUUAUUAUAUAGACUGCUUCAUCUCCAUUCUGUUAGAGAUUCACAUGAAAUUUAGUUGAAAUGAGCCUCAAAUGAAUAAGUUAGUUAGCAAUUAUUUUUAGGUUAGUUAUCAAAUGAAGAUGAAACUCACACAAAAUUUAUCAGUUAGUGGGAUAUGAAUUCUAUUAGUCAGGUUUUUUUUCUCUGUGGUGCAUUUGUAUGGUUGCUUAUCAUGGAGUUCAAUUUGCUGAGAAUAUUGUUAGUGAAGUUAGAACCUAGGAAGCUAUGUUUCUGUUAGUUUUUGAUUGUGAUGUUAUGUGUGAAUCGAGUUUUCCCAGUAAGAAUCAUGUUUUCAUUCUGCUAUAAAAAUGCUGCAGGCUUUGGUUGGUGUGUUCUGCAUAAGUUGAACAAGUAGCAGGGUCAUACGAGUUUAAGAGUUACGCAGGGCCAUGUGUUCAAUGAGUUGCUGAGUUGCUUGGAUGUGGAAUUUUCCUUUAAUGUGGAACUUGCAGGAUGUUGGGCCGAUUAACUAGUCAUACAUGUGUGCAUCUGACUUAGAAAACUAGGUUGGGAGAUUGUUAAUUUAGGUUUGGACAUUUGGUUUGUAAAAAUUGUAAAGGAAAGUUGUAGUUAAAACUUGAAUGUAUUGAAUUGGAACUUAAUAAUUAUGAAAAGUUUGAUGGUUUGGAUGAAUAGAA
This is a long non-coding RNA of Lathyrus oleraceus (garden pea), 1401 nucleotides long. RefSeq lists it as uncharacterized. The record is from RefSeq and is a predicted model, not a curated record. NCBI's taxonomy places the organism in Eukaryota, Viridiplantae, Streptophyta, Magnoliopsida, Fabales, Fabaceae. The transcript is spliced from 2 exons.